Molecule: long non-coding RNA, 10204 nt
Filed under: Malus domestica (apple)
Lineage: Eukaryota; Viridiplantae; Streptophyta; Magnoliopsida; Rosales; Rosaceae
Description: long non-coding RNA (MDOM_LNC017284)
Source: RNAcentral
CGAGCAAAAAUGAAUAUUAAAUCUUAACAUUGGGAGAAUACUAGGAGUCUUUUUUUUUAUUUCUAUUUUUAUAUAUUUUUUAAUUUGCCAAUACUAGGAGUCUCAAAACCAAGUAGUGUCAUAUUUGAAUGAAUUUUUAUUUGAUCGACUGAAAGUAAAAAUCAUAAUUUUUUGGCAAGUACACAUAUGAACUCACACUCCUAAAUACUCAUAGCACCAACGAAUGGUGGACUCAGAUAAACACCCCACAAAUACAUAUACUUGAUGUGAAAAUUAACUUGACACACAAAUUAAACCCUAUGGAUGACAAUUGUAGUAUAUGAGCAAAUAGGGAUCGUUCUAACCGGGGAUUAACUAGGGAUGCUAAUCAAUGUGAAACUGACUCAAGAACAUAAAAACAUAAUGUAGAACACUAAACUAGACUCAAUUAAUGCAAAACUAGGGUUUAAAACACCUAAACAAACUAAAAACUCAAAACAGCAACUAGAAGGCUCAAAACUGCCUAAAAACCACUUUCAGGGCAGUUUUGAGCACCUACACUACUUUGGACGAAUUUGGACUAUGACUUGACUCAAAACACUUAAAAACACAACUAAAUGGAUUUCUAACUAAUCUAACACUUUAAAAUAAGUGGGGGAAUGAUUUUGACGAAAUUAAAACUUUAAAACUCAGACUUUAAAAACAAAUGUAAAGCAAAACAGAUUGUGAUUAAAUAGAAUGGUGAGAAGCUAGUUAGAGGGUUCCUUAUCCACACAUGAACAUAUGCAUACAACUCAAUCUCCAAUUACUCUUUCAACAAACCAUGAAUGACAAUGCCCCAAAUUAACUAGAUUGCACCAAUUAAUUCUCAGAUUUCCCUAGAUUCAUUGAAUUGAAUGGAAUACGCAUUACAACCAAAUUAUUCUUAUCAAUGACCCUAACUAUGGAAUACGCAUGAUAGAGACACAUAUCAAAGAUCAUUAAAUUCAAUGGAAAUCAUAAGCAUUGACGAGGCAUUCAUAACUAUGGGAUACGCAUGUUACUCUUGCCUAGGAUUUACUUAACGCAAUCGUGACUAGCGACUUUCACUACUUAUGAAUAUAAGUUAAUAACGAUUAGGUGAAAUUCCCUUAUACCCUAGCAUCAAGUUUAAGCAUGCAAAUUAAGUGUCGACCCUCAACCCACAUACAUAAACAAGUUAUCAAUCAAAUAGAUAAGUAAAUCACAUUCACAAUUUCUGAAAUCAUAAUUGGAAGAAAUCAAAUCAUAUAAAACAUAUGUCCAUGGCUUCAAAUUCACCUCUAACUAAAAAGAAAUUAGUUCCACAUGUCUAACAUAAUUGAACAACAAUCUAAAUUAAACAUGAAAACAGAAACAAAGAAAGAAAGAACUCCAAACACUCCACUAAUGGCAGAUUGCAUGUGCAAGGUGUAUUCCUCAUUUGGACUGCACGGCACUCCUUCUUUCUCCUCCUUUGGUGGCUGCACGAGGUGGUGAUGGUGGUGGAAAGGUGCGGCUAUGGUGGAUGAAUGGUUAUUUGAAUGGAAGGUUGCGGCAAGGUUGAAUUUGGGCAGAAAGUUGGGAGUUUGGGGAUGGAAGGCUGCGGCAAGAACUAGAACUAGGGUUUUGGCGUGUAGAAUGAAUAUGGGAGGUGAUAGGUUCGGCCAAGAGGUUUAAGAGAGUAUAUAUAGGCACUUAAAAACCCUAGCAAUCAGAUUAGGGUUUCUAGAAACCCAAAUCCACCAGAAAAUAGGUUAAAACAAUCAGAAUUUGCAAGGGAAAAGGCCUAGGGUUCGGCUGGUCUAGUGGGCUAGGGUUUAGGCUUCUAGAAUGCCUUGCAAGGCAAGGAAAUCAGAAAUUUUAAAGGCCUAGGUGCGGCAAAUUAGUGGGCUAGGGUUUGGGUUUGUAGAUAGGGCUUCUAGAAAGCCCAAAACCAAGAAUAGAAACUCUCGAAAAUGGAAACCUCCAAUAAUAGAAACUUCCAACUUUAGAAACUUUGGUUUCUAAUUCUGAAUUCUUUGUUCUUCACAUUCAUUUCUUCAUUUCUUAAGCUCCUUUGCCCUUCACUCUCGUCCAUUCCUUGUGCUCCAAGCAUGUACUUUCCAAUCUAAGCUCCAUUUUGCUCCAAAAGGCUCCAAUUUGCAUCCUUUUAUGUCAUAUGCCCUUUAAGCCUGAAAAAACAUGAAAGUAGCUCAAAAGACUACUUUAACGAAGAAAACAAAACGAAAAUGCAUAAGAACUAGCUAACUAAGGCGCAUAAAUAUGCUCCUAUCAAAUUCCCCCACACUUAGCUUUUGCUAGUCCUCGAGCAAAACAAAGAAACAAAAUGAAACAAAACGAAACAAAACAAACAAAAACAACCUAAACCUUCCAACAUUUGCCUCAGGGAUUUCCAAUGCACAUGACAAAUUAAAAAUUAUCAUUCCCACAGAUUUUAGCUAUCUUUACACUUAAGCACAUACUUAAUUAUAGUUACCACGUACUAGUUCGCAUUUAACCAAGUAAAACAUGAUUUUGAAUGUAGUAACAUGCCUUAGAGACUUUGCUCAAAUCCUCACUAGCUAUGCACUCAAUUUUCACACAGAUUUUCUGACUACACACCCUAUACUAGUUAUAUGUGAGAAGAUUGAUGUAAAUAUGAAAACGAAUGCUCACAUAUGUUAUAACAAGGAAAGCUUUUUCUGAACUUAAUAAGCAUGUAUAUGAUCUCAUGAAAGGAAUGCUACUACUUAGACGCGAGAACCAGUGACACCAUAUGCUCAUACCAAUCCCAAACUCCACAAAUUGAAAUACACAACACUCAAGAUAGAAGUUAAGGGUUGUAACGGGGCUUGGGGUAUUGGCUAACAAAGAAAGGUGAAGGGUAAACAAACGUUCUUAAAACAAUAGUAAGCAAAGCAAUGAAAUUGACACUUAGAAUUCACUUUUGAAUGCAAAAAUCAACUUUUAAACUCAAAGGGGAAAUUCAUGCAACACUUAGGGUCAAAUUCACUGUUUUGGACCCAUUCUUCAACAACCAACACCUUAGAGCUCAUUUUCAUGCUCUUUCAACUCUUUUUCACACUUUUCACAUUUUUUUUUCUUUUCUUUUUCUUUUCUACCCCAUGCCUCAUUUAAGACUUUGGCACAAAAUACACAAGGCUCACUUUCCCCCACACUUGUUUUCUGCACACCCUUGAUCAAAAGGAAUUCAUUUUAAGUCAUGCUUACUAUGCUUUAAGAACAAGAGUAUGGAUGGUCCUAAUCUAGGCUAGGUAAGGAUAACGUGGGUUAACAAACAAUAUAGGCUAAACAAGGCUCAACGGGGCUAAAACCUACAAAAAACAAAUGUAUGGAAUGAAGGCUUUUUGGCUAUGGUGUUGUAACUACUACAACUUCAUCUUGAAUACGUGUUAUGCAAUUCAAUGAAAUGUUUUGAAUGAAAUUGGCAUGAGUUCUAGCAUUUGGAACUAAAGUGAUGAAACGCCUUCUAAGUAAUAACCAAACAAAGAAUAGUGAGAUCAUGCAACGACUUUAGAAAACAAGAAUGCACCGAUUUUAACUCUCCAAAUAAUGUUUAGGCUCAAGUCUCACAAGGUUGUAGCGUUAGUUUGAGUUCCUUCCUUCAAACAUGUUACAAAAACUAAUUUUUUUCUUUAUGAUUACAUGUGAAUUCAUAAGUUAUAACCACAACCAAGCAUAAACCAAGAGUAAAUCAAACUUUCAUCCAUGUUUAUAACUCUCUUUAACAGUCAUGCAAUUAAAAACCGAAUCCUCAUCAUUGUGUUGGAAGGUACCCUAAGACACAAACAAACACACAAAAACAACUUAAAAACGACUCUAUUUGGGUUUUGUAAAACAAUUUUUCAAAUUUUUAUGGGAUUUUCGGAUUUUUGAAUCAAAACACAUUAAAACACACCAAAACAGCCUAAAAACGCCUAAAAACAGCAAGAAACAACAUUGGAAAUUAUGAGUGAGAAAACCCUACGAAAUUGCAUCAAAACACUUUGGUUACCCCUCCACACUUAAACCAAACAUUGUCCUCAAUGUUUUAAGCAUAGACUCACACAAAAACACAUAAACAAACAAACAAACACUAACAACCGAACAUGGCAGAAACGAAAUAAACAACAAAGAGAAGGGUUUAGGAACGCAAAUCUGGAAUUGGAGUGCUCUCUAGGUCUUCCUUUGUCGCAUGCAUGGGUUGCCUCCUAAGAAGCGCUUGCUUUAACGUCUUCCAGCCGGACGGUACCUCCGUUUAAGCUUGACUAUGUGCCACGGCAUGGAGGGGUACCUCCUCCACGACAUGCUCCUCAAACAUCUCGUAAUAGGGCUUCAAUCGAUGCCCAUUCACUUUGAAUUCUUGUUGCGUCCUUGCACUCUUUAUUUGCACUGCACCAUGAGGGAAAACAUUAGUGACAAUAAAAGGACCAACCCAUUUGGAACGCAACUUACCCGGAAACAACCGAAUGCGAGAAUUGAACAACAACACUUUCUGCCUAAUAGAGAACGUCUUGGCACGAAUCAUCUUGUCAUGGAAUGCUUUCGUUUUCUCCUUGUAAAUCCGGGCAUUCUCAUAUGCUUCAUUUCGGAUUUCCUCAAGCUCACACAAUUGGAGCUUCCUAUGUAAACCUGCGGCAUCAAGGUCCAUGUUAAACGUUUUGACGGCCCAGUGUGCACGAUGCUCUAACUCGACGGGAAGAUGGCAUGGCUUCCCAUAGAUGAGCCGAAAAGGUGACAUCCCAAUGGGGUUUUGUAGGCAGUGCGAUACGCCCACAAUGCAUCGUUUUAAGCGCAAACUCCAAUCCUUCCUCGUAGGCCCCACGGUCUUCUCAAGAAUUUGCUUGAUUUCCCUAUUCGAAACCUCGGCUUGCCCGCUCGUUUGAGGAUGAUAAGGUGUGGCCACCUUAUGCGUGACAUUGUAUUUCUUGAGCAACGCCUCGAUGGUUCGAUUACAAAAAUGGGAACCUCCAUCAUUGAUGAGCACGCGUGACAUUCCGAACCUUGCAAAAAUGUUAAUUUUCACAAAAUCUGCAACCACUCGAGAAUCAUCAUUAGUUCGGGUGGCUUUUGCUUCCACCCACUUCGACACAUAAUCCACAGCAAGUAAUAUAUAAAAGAAAUCCAUGUGACGAAGGAAAGGGACCCAUAAAAUCAAUACCCCAAACAUCAAAUAUUUCAACACUAAAAAUGGGGGUUUGCGGCAUUUGUUGUUUAGGACCUAUAUUGCCCGUUCUUUGGCAUCUAUCACAAGACAUGCAAAAUGUUCUAGCAUCCCUAAAGAUGGUAGGCCAAUAGAAACCACAUUCUAAUACCUUAAGUGCUGUUCUAUUUAGUGCCAAAGUGUCCCCCACAAGCAUAAGUGUGACAAAAUGUUAGAAUAGCAUUAAACUCAGAAUCGUGCACACACCUACGUAUAACUUGGUUCAGGGCAAUAUUUCCAUAAAUACGGGUCAUCCCACACAUAAACCGUGCCUCUUUCUUCAAUUUAUCACCUUGGUGUUUAAGUAAUUCACUAGGAACAUGUUUAGACACCAAAUAAUUCACCAAAUCAGCAUACCACGGUUCACUUACCUUGACGGACAUCAGUUGCUCAUCUGGGAAUGUCUCCAUGAUAGGUACGGCAUCCUCUCAUGUACCAUACGGCUCAAGUGGUCAGCCACCACGUUUUCACUUCCCUUCUUGUCCCGGAUUUCGAUAUCGAAACUCUUGGAGAAGAAGCAUCCAACGAAUGAGUCGUGGUUUGGCCUCCUUCUUGGUGAACAAAUACUUCAAUGUUGCAUGGUCAGUAUAAAUAAUAACUUUAGUACCAAGCAAAUAAGAACGGAAUUUAUCUAAAGCAAAAUACAACAGCUAGAAGUUCUUUUUCAGUGGUGGAAUAAUUCAAUUGUGCAUCAUUUAAAAGUCCGAGAGGCAUAAUAGAUAGCAUGCGGCCUCUUGUCCUUCCUUUGCCCCAAAAACAGCUCCUAAUGCAUAAUCGGAAGCGUCGCACAUAAGCUCAAAAGGAAGGCUCCAAUCCGGUGGAACUAUGAUAGGGGCCGAAGUUAGCAUGUCCUUUAGGUGAUUGAACGCCUUCUCACACUCCUUGUUGAAGUCAAACGCCACAUCUUUCUGGAGGAGACGGUAAAGAGGGUUUGAGAUCUUGGAGAAGUCCUUGAUAAAUCGCCUAUAAAAUCCUGCAUGACCAAGAAACGAACGAACCUCUCGAACCGAAGUAGAGAGGGUAAGUAGCGUACAAGAUCUAUUUUCGAUUUAUCCACUUCAAAUUCCCCUUUCUGAAACAAUAUGCCCUAGAACUAUGCCUUGUCUAACCAUAAAGUGACAUUUUUCCAAAUUAAAGCACUAGGUUAGUUUCUACACAUCGUUUCAAAAAUUAGUGUGAGAUUUUCCAAACAUCCAUCAAAUGAAUCACCAAAACACACUGAAAUCAUCCAUAAAUACCUCAAUAAUCUUUUCCAACAAAAUCUGAAAAGAUACUUACCAAUACACCUUUGAAAUGUGGCCGGAGCAUUGCAUAACCCAAAAGGCAUGCGACGAUAAGCAAAGGUACCAAAGGGGCAUGUGAAAGUUGUCUUUUCUUGGUCAUCCGGCGCAUACAAAUCUGAUUAUAUCCAGAAUAACCAUCAAGGAAACAAUAAAAAGAAUGACCGGCUAACCUUUCAAGCAUUUGAUCAAUGAACGGCAAAGGGAAGUGGUCCUUCCUUGUGGUGGCGUUGAGCUUCCUAUAAUCAAUGCACACUCGCCAACCUGUUUGGAUACGGGUCGGCACAAGCUCAUUCUCGGCAUUCUUCACCACGGUCACUCCGGACUUCUUUGGAACACAUUGCACCGGUGACACCCAACGACUAUCAGAGAUCGGAUAAAUCACUCCACAAUCAAGAAGUUUGAUAAUCUCCUUUUUCACAACUUCCAUCAUUGGAGGGUUGAGACGGCGCUGAGCCUCUCGAGUUGGUUUAGCCCCCUCCUCUAGAAGUAUGCGAUGCAAUGCACGUAGUUGGGCUAAUUCCCCUAAUAUCGGCCAAAGUCCACCCAAUGGCCGUCUUGUGCUCUUUCAACACUCGGAUCAACUUCUCCUCCUCUAGGGCCGUGAGUGAUGAGGAGACAAUGACGGGCAAUGUCUCGUUGUCUCCCAGAAAGACGUACUUUAAAUGAUCGGGUAACGGUUUAAGCUCAAGUACGGGUGCCUGAAUCACUGAGGGUAAGAUCUUAUUAGUGGAAACUGGAAUUGAAAUUGGGUUAGAAGGCUUACCAUGGUGUUGAGGGAGUGACUCAAGGGCAGCCACUAUCUCGGCCUCAUCCUCACUUCUAGGCACGGCAACACCAUUUUUGUGCCCAAUUCCUUGUGCAAUUGUCGUUUCAAGUGUAUCCCUCUCCAAACAAUCGAGAAAAUCCUGCGCCAAAUCAUCAAUUAUAUCAAUAGAAAAGCAAGAAUGAUCGUCCUUAGGAAAUUUAAUACUUUCAGAAAGAUUAAAAUCAAUGACUUCCCCAUCAAAUUCCAUCGUUAAAGUUCCUUUAAACACAUCUAUCUUGGUGCGGGCUGUUUUCAUGAAGGGCCUCCCUAAUAGAAUCGGCAAUGGGGAAGAAUGGGGUGAGUCCUCCAUGUCAAGCACGUAAAAGUCCGCUGGAAAAAUCAAAUUACCAACCUGCACCAAAACAUCUUCCAAAACACCCUUUGGGUAUGCAUUAGAACGAUCGGCUAAUUGAAUUAUCACACCAUCAUUUUUAAGCUCACCUAAGUUCAUAGAUGCAUAAAUCGAGUAUGGCAUGACAUUAAUCGAAGCCCCUAAGUCUAACAUGCAUUGUUCAAACUUAGUAUUACCAAUAACGCACGGAAUUGUAAAACUACCCGGAUCUUUGAAUUUAGGGGGUAAUUUCCUUUGUAACACAAGCAGAGACGUUUCACUUACCUGGACCACCUCUUUUGUUCGAAAUCCUUCUCCUUGUUGUACAAAGUUCUUUUAAGAACUUAGCAUACCUCGGGACUUGCUUAAUCGCAUCAAGGAGCGGGAUAUUGACUUGAACUUUCCGAAAGGUCUCUAGAAUAUCCUUCUCGGCUUCUUCCUUCUUUGAUUGCCUAAACCUGCCAGGAAAGGGCACAUUUAGUGGAAUAGAACUAGAAAAAGUCGAAUUGGGACUUACCUUGGUGGUUGGGGACGGUUUAGGAGGGUUAGAGGGUGGCGGCAAGGAUUGGUCAUCCUUGGCCGUGGCUUUUGCUCUUUGUGCCUCCUCUUGCAUCAACUUGUCCUCCUCGUCUUGACUUGAUUUGGAUGUAUUUGAGUCCGCUCCAACCUGUUUACCACUUCUCAACAUGAUGGCCUUAGCGGUUUCAAAUCCUCCCUUCGGGUUCACAACGGUUGAACUAGGCAAUCUGCCUUGUUCUCUAAUUUGCCCCAUAAACUCUGCAAUUUGACCCAUCUGCUUCUCCAAGUUGUCCACCCGUUUGUCUUGGAUUUGUCUCUCCUUAUUUGAGUUUGUACUUCCUGCGUCAAAGUAGUAAGUAACUUAACAACUUGAUCAUUAUCCAAAGACGUACCUGAGGUUGGUGGGGCGGUUUGCACUUGGUUUUGAUUGGGACGAAUGACUUUGUAUAAAAGCCCGGUGGUUGCGCUAAAUCUCCUGUUGUUGGGUUGUUGAGGAUCCCGCCAUUUGAAAAUUCGGAGGUCCCUCCACCCGGAUUGUGUAGGAUUAGAGUAUGGAUCAUGGUGUGGUUUGAUUUUGGUUCCCAAAACCCACGGCAUUGGCAGCUUCCUAACCCCAUUCUCAAUCAAUUGAGGGCAUUGAUCAUUGGCAUGUCCUGCAUCGAGCACACGCCACACACACUUGGUCCAUGAAUCUUCAUUCCCUCGGCUAACUGAGAAACAAUAGAAGUAAGGUUAGCUAAUUGAGAUUGAAUCUCGGGGCAUAGAACUUACCUCAUUCACUUGUGGCCGUGGGGGGUCCCUUUGUCCAACACCUUCGUAUUGUUGUGCAUUAUGUGCUCGGUUGGCAAUUAGAACUUUUGCAGCCCCCGGAGUUUUAUCCACCAACGCACCCCCCGCCGAGGCAUCAAGCAUUUGGCGUUCCAUGGAAAGGAGUCCUCGUAGAAAUAUUGAAUGAGCAGCUUCUUCUCAUUUGAUGAUGUGGACAAGAAGCAAAAGUGUUUAAAAACGUUCAUAAUAAGAAGGAAACGAUUCACCUUGAUUUUGUUGGAUGCCACUUAAUCCGUUUCCUCAAGAGAAUGACUCUUGAAGUGGGAAAAACUUCUCCAAGAACGCUCUUUUCAUACUAUCCCAAGAUGUAACCGUUCCGGGUGCUAACUCGUAAAAGCCAAUCUUUCGCCUUUUCCAAAAGUGAGAAUGGAAAGGCCUUCAUCAUCAGAAUACUCCCGUCAACAUUGAUGGGUGUCAUGCUCGAACAAACAACCUCGAACUCCUUGAGAUGCUUGUUGGGAUCUUCCAUGGAAAGCCCAUGGUAUUUCGGAAUGUGGUGCAACAAGCUUGACUUCAACUCAAAUUCGUCGGUCUUGCCUUGGGCAGCCGCGGGGUAUUGAAUGCAUAAUGGUGCGGCAUUGGCCAACCCCCGAGGCCGAAAGCUCUUUAAUGGUCCGAUUGUCCGUGGCCAUAACUUCUUCUUCCUCUUCUUCAAACUCAGAUUCGGCCUCUGAACUUGAACUAGGUUCACUAGGUUCGGGAUGCCUCCUAUUUCUUCUCAAAUCACGUUCAAAAUCGUCGUUGAAAUCCAAUAUGUGUGCAUGCACAGUUUGAAGCUCCGCGUCAUGCACUAGUACCUAAACCAAGAAAACAAAACAAAAUAAGAAAACUAAGUAAUUUAUACUAAAAACACACGGCAAUAACACAAGGGAUUAGCAAUUUUGCUAAUCCCCGCAACGGCGCCAAAAUUUGAUGUGAAAAUUAACUUGACACACAAAUUAAACCCUAUGGAUGACAUUUGUAAGUAUAUGAGCAAAUAGGGAUCGUUCUAACCGGGGAUUAACUAGGGAUGCUAAUCAAUGUGAAACUGACUCAAGAACAUAAAAACAUAAUGUAGAACACUAAACUAGACUCAAUUAAUGCAAACUAGGGGUUUAAAACACCUAAACAAACUAAAAACUCAAAACAGCAACUAGAAGACUCAAAACUGCCUAAAAACCACUUUCUGGGCAGUUUUGAGCACCUACACUACUUUGGACGAAUUUGGACUAUGACUUGACUCAAAACACUUAAAAACACAACUAAAUGGAUUUCUAACUAAUCUAACACUUUAAAAU